Molecule: ribosomal RNA, 216 nt
Filed under: Glomeromycotina sp.
Lineage: Eukaryota; Fungi; Glomeromycota
Description: partial small subunit ribosomal RNA
Rfam family: Eukaryotic small subunit ribosomal RNA (bases 40-216)
Source: RNAcentral
GGGUCAGUAGGUUGGUCGUGCCACCGGUACGUACUGGUCUCACUGAUUCCUCCUUCCUGAAGAACCGUAAUGCCAUUAAUUUGGUGUUGUGGGGAAACAGGACUGUUACUUUGAAAAAAUUAGAGUGUUUAAAGCAAGCUAACGCUUGAAUACAGUAGCAUGGAAUAAUGAAAUAGGACGAUCGAUCCUAUUUUGUUGGUUUCUAGGAUUGACGUA